UACGGAAUGUGCAAACGUUAUUCGGAAUCACUGGGCUUAAAGAGUCCGUAGGCGGCUUGUUAGGUGAGGUGUGAAAGCCCUCGGCCCAACCGAGUAAUUGCGCUUCAAACCGGCAAGCUAGAGGAGGAUAGAGGUGGGCGGAACUGAUGGUGGAGCGGUGAAAUGCGUUGAUAUCAUCAGGAACACCGGAGGCGAAGGCGGUCCACUGGGUCCUUUCUGACGCUGAGGGACGAAAGCUAGGGGAGCGAACGGG
This 253-nucleotide ribosomal RNA is filed under the name uncultured bacterium. RNAcentral describes it as "partial 16S ribosomal RNA". It matches the Rfam family "Bacterial small subunit ribosomal RNA", at positions 524 to 776 of the family's 1533-position model. The record is from RNAcentral.